UACAGAGGUCUCAAGCGUUGUUCGGAUUCAUUGGGCGUAAAGGGUGCGUAGGUGGCGCGCUAAGUCAGGUGUGAAAUUUCGGAGCUUAACUCCGAAACUGCAUUUGAUACUGGCGUGCUCGAGUACUGGAGAGGAGAUUGGAAUUUACGGUGUAGCAGUGAAAUGCGUAGAUAUCGUAAGGAAGACCAGUGGCGAAGGCGAAUCUCUGGACAGUUACUGACACUGAGGCACGAAGGCCAGGGGAGCAAACGGG
RNAcentral lists this ribosomal RNA (253 nucleotides) under uncultured prokaryote. Its description in RNAcentral is "partial 16S ribosomal RNA". It matches the Rfam family "Bacterial small subunit ribosomal RNA", at positions 524 to 776 of the family's 1533-position model. The record is from RNAcentral.